RNAcentral lists this ribosomal RNA (326 nucleotides) under uncultured eukaryote. RNAcentral's name for it is "partial 18S ribosomal RNA". It matches the Rfam family "Eukaryotic small subunit ribosomal RNA", at positions 1470 to 1796 of the family's 1831-position model. The record is from RNAcentral.
CCCUUAGAUGUUCUGGGCCGCACGCGCGCUACACUGAAGGGAUCAGCGUGUUUUCCCUUCCCGAGAGGGACGGGUAACCCGCUGAACCCCCUUCGUGGUAGAGAUCGGAGCUUGCAAUUGUUCUCCGUGAACCAGGAAUUCCCAGUAAGCGCAAGUCAUAAGCUUGCGUUGAUUACGUCCCUGCCCUUUGUACACACCGCCCGUCGCUACUACCGAUUGAACGUUUUAGUGAGGUAUUUGGACUGGGCCUUGGGAGGUUUCGGCCUCCCUUGUUGCUCGGAAAGACUCCCAAACUUGAGCGUUUAGAGGAAGUAAAAGUCGUAACA